This 4589-nucleotide long non-coding RNA is filed under the name Brassica napus (rape). RNAcentral describes it as "long non-coding RNA (BNAP_LNC025788)". Lineage: Eukaryota; Viridiplantae; Streptophyta; Magnoliopsida; Brassicales; Brassicaceae. The record is from RNAcentral.
GAGGAAAAUUUUAUUCCAUUAAAUUUCCUGAGAAAAUUUCUUGGCCAAAUUAACGAGACGUUUAAGAGAAAUAAACACACGAAAAGCCGAUAAUUAAUUUAGUGACCAAGACCAUAGGGGUGCUUUUAAAGGUUCAUUUUCCCCGAAUUUGUUUCACAUAUAUAAAAUGAAAGAUAAAAAUAUUAGAUAUUCAAGAAGGUCUCAUGAGAGAAGGUUGGAAGCCAUUGGUCUGCAGCCAAUUUUGAUGAGAAGUAGAAGUGGAAUUAAAAAUCUGAUUGUGAUGAUGAGGAGAGAAUCCUGAUGAUGCUGCAGCAUUUGCCAACACUUGGUUCGUCGUGGUCCGACCAUCAAACCGGUGGUUCUCAGCCACCGGAAAUAGUGAGAAUCCUCCUCCGCCACCAAUGUUGCUGCUGCCCGGAAACUAAUUUACACCAUACAAAAAUAUACAUACUGUAUUCUGUUAGUAAAAAUAUAACCGAUUGAAAUUUAAACAAUUGUUUUAUAUCUUCUUGUGUGUUUUUACUCACUUGGAGAUUUGAAUUUGGGAUAUGGUUAACCAUUCCGGUUUGACCUAAUCCAAGAAUCUCAUUAGGAUGAAGAGAAUCUUGUUGGUUCAUCUAAUAAAAAGAAAAAAAUGUUUAUAACAAACGAAGAUAUUUAAGGUAGAAACUAUAGUAUAUAAUUUAAUAAACACUUUACCUUGAGCCGCAUAUCUUGACCCUUUUGCUUCGAAUUAACCGAGUUUCCCAAACUCAAAUCGAGGUUAUGAUCUUGUUGAAUAGGAUUCCCUGAUGACUCUACACAAAUUUAAAAAGAAAAUCUUGAAACCAAGUUCUUACCCAUAAAUAUACGAUUAAAAACUCAAAAGAGAUUUUGAAAUAAAAAUUACCGGCAUUCAAUUCGUCGUCGUAUAGGAAACUAAUUUACACCAUACAAAAAUAUACAUACUGUAUUCUGUUAGUAAAAAUAUAACCGAUUGAAAUUUAAACAAUUGUUUUAUAUCUUCUUGUGUGUUUUUACUCACUUGGAGAUUUGAAUUUGGGAUAUGGUUAACCAUUCCGGUUUGACCUAAUCCAAGAAUCUCAUUAGGAUGAAGAGAAUCUUGUUGGUUCAUCUAAUAAAAAGAAAAAAAUGUUUAUAACAAACGAAGAUAUUUAAGGUAGAAACUAUAGUAUAUAAUUUAAUAAACACUUUACCUUGAGCCGCAUAUCUUGACCCUUUUGCUUCGAAUUAACCGAGUUUCCCAAACUCAAAUCGAGGUUAUGAUCUUGUUGAAUAGGAUUCCCUGAUGACUCUACACAAAUUUAAAAAGAAAAUCUUGAAACCAAGUUCUUACCCAUAAAUAUACGAUUAAAAACUCAAAAGAGAUUUUGAAAUAAAAAUUACCGGCAUUCAAUUCGUCGUCGUAUAUGCUUGGAUCAAAGUUAGUCACAGCGUCUUUGCCAUUACAUUUGAUUGCAGCUUUAUCGUAAGCUCUGUGGUCAUUAAAAAAUAAAAUAAAAACAUUAUACGAGAUUAAAGCUUUCUAACAAUGUGUGUUGUGGAAUCAAUCAUAAAGACAUUUACCUAGCAGCUUCAACCUCGGUGUCGAACAAACCCAAAUAAACAUACCUAAUAUGAAAAGUUAAAGCAUCAAAACUCAAGUUACAAUAACAAAUCUAUUAGAAAAAUAAAGAAUGAAUGAAUGAAAGUACUUUUUGCCUAAGAAUUGACCCAUUCGAGCUUCCCAACGACCACACUUAUGCAAAGUGACACCUCUAUACUUUGAACUGCCUCGAGGGAAGCCUGUGCUUUGUCGGCGAAGUACGUGCACGAACUCUUCCUUCGUUAAAUUCGUCAUCUGCUAAAUUACGUUUUAAUCAAUAUAAUAACCUAUUCAUAUUGUUUAGUAUUUUAUUUGUUUUGUUUUAGGAGUUACCUGCUUCAAGUCAUCAUCAUAAUCUUCAAUGGUAAAGUUGAUAUCAGCUUCUACUCCACGAAAUUUAAUAGCAGCUCGAUCAUAUGCUCUACAUAAAAGAAAAUAAAAGACUUUAUAUUAUAGGUCUUGUGCCUUUUGUUUUUUUUCUAGCUUUAAUUAAUUUGUUUCGUUUAAAAGUAAAAUAUAAAUUAAAAAUGUAAAAAUCUAAGUGGCUAAAUUUAUCUUUUCUUAAUAUGUGUAUGAUCUUUAAACAUCAAUCUUCUGCACGUACAGGGAAUAUAUAUUAUUAUGUGAAAAAGGGAACAUAUUGUUCUUAAAUUUAUAACAAUUGCGGCUCCACCGAUUUGAAAAAGAAAUUCAAAAAAUUCCAUUCCAUUUUGUAUCAUUCUAUCAGGUAAGUUAGAAUAUAAUUCUAAUAUGAAAACUGUAAUUCUCUGUUUUAGUAUAUAAUAAAAAUACCGUAACUAGAUACAUAUUAAAACUUUACACCAGCUAAAAUUGGAUAUAUCAAAUGUUUAAUACUGUAACCAUAUUUUUUGUCAUAUUUUACCAUUCUAUUUUUCUUAAAAAUAUGGUUUAGUCCGAUGUAAAGGACCAUCGUAUAAUCCGGUGUAAACCCAAAGUUACAUUGGUUAAAGUUAACCUGGUAUUAACAAAAAGGCAGAUGUACUUACUUACAUAUAGAAAUAUCUUACUAUAUGACCAGAAACAUGAACCUAGAUUUUAAGGAGGAACAAAUUACACAGGAUAAAUAUGAAAUCUAGGAAAGCUUUCAUGAAUAAACGGAGUAACAUUUUAUAAGAAAUUAAAAGAGGAGAAAGGAAGUGAAGCCGAGAAGUCUCUUUCACCAUUAUAACAAUGUCUGACUUCUUUUGGGUUUCUGUGUGAGGGAGAGAGAGAAACUGAUUCAAAGGACACAUUACUUGAGAAUGACCAUUCAUCCCUAAUAAAACCCAAUUUUAAUUUGCCUCUCUUCUCUUUAUGACACACUUAUAUUUCCAAGAUUAUUUUUCUUCGUAUGAGUAUUAAUUAGUCAUGGAAUAUUAAUGUUUUUUUCAAACUAUCUAGUAGUAUUAUAUAACUUAGAAUAUUUUUUUAACUCAUUUCUAUAUUAAGGAAAAUAAUAUUUUUCUACUUUCACUCUAAAUGUAGAUAAAUGUUAUUUUAGAAAAUACAUUGUAUUUUUUAUUAUAGUUAUUCUAUAUUUACAAAAUAGUAAAAUACAUUACAAAUGUUUUUAUAAUAUAACUCCUCUGAAAAAGAAGAAAGAUCUUGGUGUUGACAUUCUUUUUUUUUUGUCACUAGGUGUUGACAUUCAUAUAAACUUUUUUAUGAGAUCGUAAAAUAACUGCAGGAUUUUUUUUCUUACUCCAUUAGGGAAACAUCAGUACCAAUCUACUUCUGUUUCUCUCUCUCGUCUCACCAUUAAUGCUGUAAAGAUAAAUAUAACCGUUUUUCUGUCGGUAAAAUAUCUAUAGCAUUAUUUAAAACUCUGUUAGAUAGUACUACUAUACAUCUUUUUCGUAUUAUUCACGUUAUAAAAGUUCUUAAGUUUUUUUAUUUUAAGAAUUUAUUCAAUGAUGUGUGCUAUAGUCUUGACGAAAGAUAACAAAUGUCAAAUGGAAUUCCAAAACAUAUUUUGACUAAAACCAAAUGUUUUUUAACAUAUACAUGAUUAUUAUUUUCGUAAUUUCUUAUAGUUUAUUGACGAGUUGGAUCCUUAUUGAAUGUGUUCAACUUCUUGGACUCUGUGGUUACAAAAGUGGAUUUAAAAGUAUCUUAGGAUUUGAUUUCUGCUGAAUCUAUUAUUAUCAAACUGCAGCAAUUAAUAGGAAAACCCACCAAGCAAGUCUUCUAAAGAAUGUAACAAAGAAAUAAACCAAAUAUUUGAAUAACUAGCUAUAUUGUGUUGAGAAAAUAUUUCAUUUAUUUUUUUAUUUUUUUAUUUUUUUAUUUUGUUGUCAUCGUUGAGAAAAUAUUUCAUACUUGUGUUAUUAUUAGGUGAAAGUGUCGUAGAAGGCAAACAAAUAUUAAAUGAAGUAAGGGUGGGAGGUAUUAAUUGAAUAUUGAUAUGAAAGAGGAAUAACAAAACAAGUUAGGACUGAAAAUAUAUGUAGAUAGGUGCAGGUAACAUAUAAAGCAGUAAAGUCUUAAAAUCUUUAAUAAAUGUAUCGAGAAGAAACAACAAAAGACAACUCAUUGACAAAUCUCCUCUCAACCUUUUUAGUCAGAACAUCUUAAACACACACAAUUGGCAAUUUCCCAAAUACCCAACGAUUAUGUGUAUGCAUAUAAAAUAUUACCCAAUGGAGGAAAAUUUUAUUCCAUUAAAUUUCCUGAGAAAAUUUCUUGGCCAAAUUAACGAGACGUUUAAGAGAAAUAAACACACGAAAAGCCGAUAAUUAAUUUAGUGACCAAGACCAUAGGGGUGCUUUUAAAGGUUCAUUUUCCCCGAAUUUGUUUCACAUAUAUAAAAUGAAAGAUAAAAAUAUUAGAUAUUCAAGAAGGUCUCAUGAGAGAAGGUUGGAAGCCAUUGGUCUGCAGCCAAUUUUGAUGAGAAGUAGAAGUGGAAUUAAAAAUCUGAUUGUGAUGAUGAGGAGAGAAUCCUGAUGAUGCUGCAGCAUUUGCCAACACUUGGUUCGUCGUGGUCCGACCAUCAAACCGGUGGUUC